AGGACGAACGCUGGCGGCGUGCUUAACACAUGCAAGUCGAGCGAGGCGCCUCCUUCGGGAGGAUGCCCUAGCGGCGAACGGGUGAGUAACACGUGGGCAACCUGCCCCUAGCACUGGGAUAACCCCGGGAAACCGGGCUAAUACCGGAUACGACUUCGGAAGGCAUCUUCUGAAGUGGAAAAGGUUACUGGCUAGGGAUGGGCCCGCGGCCUAUCAGCUUGUUGGUGGGGUAAUGGCCCACAAGGCGACGACGGGUAG
RNAcentral lists this ribosomal RNA (258 nucleotides) under uncultured bacterium. Its description in RNAcentral is "partial small subunit ribosomal RNA". It matches the Rfam family "Bacterial small subunit ribosomal RNA", at positions 26 to 286 of the family's 1533-position model. The record is from RNAcentral.